CAGCUCUGCCCCAUUCGGGCCGGUUCCUGAUCGCAUACAUGGUGUUCAUCCCAGCUCCUUUCUCCAGGAGCGUGUUCCCUAGGUUACGGAGUCAGCAUCAUUAUCCAAAUAGACAUCUGCUCUGCUUUCUUGUUCGUAAUGAUAAUGACUAGCGGGGGUCACAAAGGAUAGGCUUAACACAAAGCAUCCAAGUGGAAAAUUUGAGAAAAGGGGAAGGUUUAGAAAAAGUGCAACUGUGCUUUCCUAGUCACUUAAAAACAAACAACAACAAAACUAACAAACAAGUCAAUGGGGGGGUGGGGAAGACUGUCUUACAUUAGUCAUUCCGUUUCAUUAGAAUGUUCAAGGCUCCAGCUCUAGGAUUUAGAGUUCACGUAUUACAAAGCAUUGCUGGAUUAGAAGAGGAGUUAAAUAUCUGAACCGUGGACUGCUGAGGGCUCUUCAAAGCUUGCAUUGAGUCUGGGGAUUCAGUCUUAGUGGAUAACCUCUGGGCAGAUGUGGUCCGCUAGUGGCCUGUUUCUUCUGCUGGAAGUCUGAGGAGCAGGGCUUUCUAGGCCAAUGCUGGGUCUUCAGUUCUGCAUACUGGAAGGGUAGCAUGCAUGAAUGGAGUCCAGAAGUUCUGGGCUGCAACUCACCAUGGAUCUGGCACAAACCAAGAGCUGGCCUUUCCGAAGUCAGUAUCGAGACUCCCCAGCAGGAGAGUCCUGUGAUAUGAGGUCUGAGUACACACUGAACUGUCCAAGGAGACCAAGAAUUGGAUCAUCUGAGGGGGAUGGAAGUGUCUCUAGGAACAGCCCCACAUUUCCUGUUGUGUCCAGCAAGCUCCAAGCGUUCCAUACUUUGGUGAGUAUUGGAGCUGUAUUAAACUCCAGGACAGCAACUGAGGUUCAGAGUCCACUUCUGGGUACUGCCCCUGCACCCCUCUUCUCUGAGAGGUGAGAUAAUUCACUCUUGUGAACUCCAUUUUCAGAUAAAGGGAGUACAUGUGCGAGCCUGCGUGCUCUGUACAGGGGAUAAAGAAGCCCCACGGCAAACCCAGCUUGGUGAGCUCGCACGGCAAAGCUCAGAGUGGGCUGGGGGGCUGCGGCUCUCUUCCUCAGUUCCCUCAUUCCGAUAUAAAGCUGGAUGGGUCCUUGCAUCAGAGGAGGCAGGAGUUCAUUGGCUUUUCCUUCACGUUCCUUUUGGAGGAACACUUGACUUUCCUUCAUUUUUUUUUUCUGAAUCCCCGUUGCCUCGUCCGGGCUUUGUUUUCUAAGGUUAUAAUUUCUUGGAUGAGACAAAUGUCUUCAUUUUGUACAUUGUGGUUGGUUGACACUGAAUGGAAACGGGAGUGUAAAUCACCUCUUCCAAUUACGGGGCCGAAGACCAGGAAGUGCUUUGUAGUCAUUAAGUGCUCUACCAAUUUUUAAGGAUAAUGCAUUUUUCAUGUCAGUUUUAUACCCCAAAUUUAUGUCAGUUAGCUACAAAUAUGCUUCGCUUUGAAAUUCUCCGAGGCUUUCCCAGACUUGAUGAGAACUCAGAAACUGUAAUGAAAGUCCAAAAUGCCUUCGUACAGCUUCCUUAACUCUGUAUUUCUGGCUUCCUCCGGAUGCAGGUCUGUUGACGACAUCUGCGUCCACCAUGUCUACCAGCGGAGGUAGUACACUGGUUAGACACUAUUUUGCUAUAGGCAGUAAAAGAACUCGCGACUGUCUUAAAUAAAUUAGAGUUGUUUUUUCUCGAAUCGUCAGAAGUCUGGAGGUUUUAAUAGUUUUCUGGUUGGCUCAUUAGCUCAGUAUUGCCGGGGCUGGUGUCUCUACGAUUCCCUUAGCUCCUCCCUCCUCGUUGCAAGAUGGCUUCUGCCGCACAACGUAAACAUCAGAACGGCUCUUUGAAAGGAGAAGGGGAUGACUGUGGGUUUUUGCUUUUAAUAUUUAUCUGCUCAUUCUGUGUGUCUGUGUAGGCAUGCGUACGCCACGGUGAGCAUGUGGAGGUCACAGGACGACUUCCCCGGGGUUGACUCUCUCCUGCUGCUUCGUGAGUUUGAGAGAAUAAACUCAGGUUGCCACACUUGAUGGCAAGCAUCCUCGUCCGCUGAAGCAUCUUGCCGGGCCAGGCGUGCUAGUCUUAAGAGAGGAUCCUAGACUUCCUUCCGUGGAGAAGUGGGAUUUAUAUCCCUACCCCUUCAACUCUGAGUGGGUUUAUAUGACUGCUUCAACAGAUAGAACAUGACAGAAGUAAACCCCAUGUGACUCCCCAGGCUAGAUGGUGAAAUAACCGAGAAUCUUCUGGAAUGUUCUUAUGAUGCACAUGCUAUCUGGGUGCUCCCACUAAAAAGUCUUCUCUUGGGAUUUUCCUUUCAGAGCCCACACCACCACCCACUAGAAGGAUGGAGAGGCUUCUUUCUAAAAGAGUCUUUAAAAAUGGGAGACAUCUGCCGAGUUCAGGAACGUGAGUCAGCACUGUGCAUAAUGGCUGUGUAUUAAGAGCUCAGCAGAGUCCUGCUGACCACAUGGUGCCCUGCAAGACGGCGUUCUGAGCUUUGUAUUUACUCUCAGACUGUACAUGUUGUUUCAAUCAGUCAGAGAGGCUCAGCUCUGCUCCAGGAGGCAGGAUUCUAUUUUCCAGAGGACAGCUGGGCCUUCUCAGAGAGCAUACAGACAAAGUCACCCACUCUUUUCUUCUGCCCUUUGUGACAUAAGAAUGGGCUGGCCGUCUCAUGCUUUCUCACGGCCGAGAGUCCAUCUUGUAACUUCCAGGCAUCUAGAUGUCUAGAAUGUCUUUCGUGUGUGUGUGUGUGUGUGUGUGUGUGUGUGUGUGUGUGUGUGUGUGUUGGCAAUGCCCUUCUUUUUUUCCCUUUUGAAAGAUAUUGUUCUCUUUCAAAAAUAUCAUUAGCCCUCCUCCUGGUAGCUACUGGUCAUUUAAUUUCUCCCUUCAUUUUGAUUCCAUUCCCCCCCCCCCCCCCCCCCCCUGUAAAAAGCAUGGUAGAAAAAGCUUGCUGCUGCACCCACCGCAUGCCGUGUUUUAGCAUGCUCUUAUUUCCUAGUGCCCAGACUGCCUUGAAUAUGAGAAGACGCAAAUCUGCUCCGUGCGAGUGGAUGAACAGCUGCCUGGUGGAGGUUUACAUGGAAGAUGUGAGCCCCAGUUAAAGAAUGAAGGAUCUUCUCUCUACGUUCUUCCUGUGUCCUAUGUGGGAGUUGCCAGACAGGGUUGCCAGUGGCUUGACUCUAGGCUCCUGGGAUCCUAAGCUUCCUAGUUAAGCAUCCUGAGACGCUUUCAGGAGCAUACAGGAAGAAGCCCUGGAGCCUGGCAGGAAAGCAAGUCCAUUCCUUCAUUAGAGCAUUAGAGCCUGCUUCUUCAGGGUUCCGGUGUGUACUGAGGACCAGCUGAGACAUCCAGCCUUGGGGACUGACCAACUACUGAAUUCUUGAACCUUCUGUUCACAGGCAGCCAUCGUGGAUUAGCUGGACCUCAGCCUAGGAUAGCCAACAUUUACCUUCCCUCGCUACCUGAUCGUGUUCCUGAAUCUACAAGGCAGAAGGUUGACAUGUUGACUUGAAGACCAAUGAAUCAACAAGGAGAUUACUGAAUGAAUGAAUCUAUAAAGUGAAAAGUGAAAUAGAGGGUUUUGUCAGCAUGAUCCAAGCAGCAGACGGAUGGGAUUCAAAGGGAUGGCAUUGAGGCCUGACUGCACAUUUUUCUUUUCUGAGUAUUAAUAAUUGAGAGUCCCUUAAUCAGCAAGUCCCCCCUCCAAGAAUCAUCAGAGGAAGAAAAUCUUUAGCUGAUGCAAUGGCUUUGCAGGUACCUAUGCAUUAUUUGCUGUGUGCCAGCUCCUGCUCUACAGGCCUUGAGUGAGGAAUCCUGUGUCAAGACAGACCCUCCCCAGAGUGUUGGCGGUCCAAGGUGGUCCAAGCUAAGCCCGCAUCACCGGGAGAUACACACUGAAAGCAGGUAACCGUCAGAAGUGGAGUCGGCUCUGUUCUUCUAUGCACAUCUUCUUUGCUGAUUCUUGGUCUCAGCCCACUGGCGACAUUAUCUUGAGUCCUGGGAAACCCUUGUCAUGCUCUGUCAUAGGAACAGGGGAGAGAUGGAGAGAAAUAAAGAGAGAAUGGAGAUGGGAAAAUUAAUCACAAAUGUUGGCCAAGUGUCUCCAGGUGGGUUCCAAUCCUUUGAGCUUAGGAGACACAAGGAAGGUGAAUAUUGGAUUUCCUUUGGUGUCAUUUUUAGAAAAAUCAAACAAACUCAUUUCGGUGACACUGAGAGUUCUUUCUGUGUGGAAGGCAGAGGGGAAACAGUGUGAGGACCAUCCAUGGGUGGACUUAGGGUUUUGCCUAUCUCCGCCUACAUCUGACCCACACGUUUGGCAACAUUUAUGAGUCAGAAUGUUAGGAAAGUUUUCAGGCACUCAAUUUUUCUCUGCCUUUGGCUAAGUCUGUGAGUUGCCAUGAGGAGGGAAACAAACAAAUGCAACCCUCUUGCCUUUCCACCCCCACACGCCGCCACUCCCUGCCGGGCCAGCGAGCCGGCCCAAUGACAAGGACCCUUUGCCCUUGACUUCCUUCCUCUCUGCUGCCCACUCGGCUUGGCAGUCAUGUUGACCUCAGUGCUGUGUCAUCAUGGCAAGGAAGCCUGGGAGAUGGCACCCUGGGCCCUGGAUUCUUGUGCUUGUCCUGGGUCUCAGGAGUCUGAGACCAAACCAGACGUGGCCUUUGUGGGGAAAUGAAGGAGUCUGGCAACGCAUACACUGAUGAGCUGACGUGCUCCUCUGACAGGCUGUUCUGGUAACUGGACUUCAGCUCUGACCUGUCAUCCAGCUGGGUGAUGGACUUGUCACCUUGGACUUCUGUCCCCACCCUGAAUUUCUCUUUGUUCAGACUUUGGUCAUUUCUCUGAACUUUCCCCCCCGUAGCUAGACUGAAUCUACAGAAAUCCCUAUUUUGACCAUUAGUUGCCUACCUCCUAUCACUUUGUUUUUUACCUUCUCCUUGGUGCUCGUCUGUUUGUCCGUCCAGCUCCUGCUUCCCAGAGGCCAACUCUCCCAAGACUGACCUAUGGGAUCUAUCCCAGUUGCUUAGCAAGUAUAUCCUAAUUCCAAUGAAGAUUCUCCAACAUGAAAACACAACGUAACAAGCAGCCAGGCAUGGUGAUGAACCCCUUUAGUCUCAGCACCUGGGAGGCAGAG
Non-coding RNA from Peromyscus maniculatus bairdii (prairie deer mouse), 5161 nucleotides. Lineage: Eukaryota; Metazoa; Chordata; Mammalia; Rodentia; Cricetidae. The record is from RefSeq and is a predicted model, not a curated record.